UAUAAAAAUGUAACAACGAAGUUAACAAAAGUUUUCAUACAUUUAAUAUACGUUAUAUUUGAAAAAUUUUGGUGAAGUUAUGAAAGUCCUGCCGUAGUAAGCCUUGUCGUAAAGCUCGGGUUUGGAGGGUCGACGUUAACUAUUGUGAAGACACGUGCUCAAAGAACGAACGUUGUACUCCCCAUUGUAUUUCAGGAGGACUGAAGUUGACGAACUCGUUAGGACUUCCAAGAAUAACUAUCGAGUAAAUAAGAUGAAGUAGACGAGAACUACAAUUAUUCAAUGUUUUCUGAGUCCAUGAAGACCAAGCAUAUGUAUGGUGUUGUAUAAGAAUAUUGCUGUGCCCAAAGACAAACUCACUCACUUGAAGAAUUUGCUAUAUAUUUCUGGUGUUCCAGGCGGUCUGAUGCCCUCCACCAGGGUAGCCGAGGUUUUCUGCCUCUUCCUGGUGUUAAUGAUUGUCAUUAUUCCUUCUACUGC
This is a long non-coding RNA of Limulus polyphemus (Atlantic horseshoe crab), 480 nucleotides long. RefSeq lists it as uncharacterized. The transcript is spliced from 3 exons. The record is from RefSeq and is a predicted model, not a curated record. Lineage: Eukaryota; Metazoa; Arthropoda; Merostomata; Xiphosura; Limulidae.